This 378-nucleotide unclassified non-coding RNA is filed under the name uncultured Actinomycetes bacterium. Its description in RNAcentral is "uncultured actinobacterium contains 16S-23S intergenic spacer region". The record is from RNAcentral. Lineage: Bacteria; Bacillati; Actinomycetota; Actinomycetes.
UCCGAGUUGACCCCGGCAGUCUCCCAUGAGUCCCCGCCAUUACGCGCUGGCAACAUGGAACGAGGGUUGCGCUCGUUGCGGGACUUAACCCAACAUCUCACGACACGAGCUGACGACAACCAUGCACCACCUGUGAGAGUGCCCCGAAGGGAAACCGUGUUUCCACGGCUGUCACUCACAUGUCAAGCCCAGGUAAGGUUCUUCGCGUUGCGUCGAAUUAAAGAACAUGCUCCGCUGCUUGUGCGGGCCCCCGUCAAUUCUUUUGAGUUUUAGCCUUGCGGCCGUACUCCCCAGGCGGAACACUUAACGCGUUGGCUACGGCACAGAGGGAUUCGACUCCCCCCACACCUAGUGUUCAUCGUUUACGGCUAGGACUAC